RNAcentral lists this ribosomal RNA (303 nucleotides) under uncultured bacterium. RNAcentral describes it as "bacterial SSU rRNA". It matches the Rfam family "Bacterial small subunit ribosomal RNA", at positions 355 to 649 of the family's 1533-position model. The record is from RNAcentral.
UGGGGAAUAUUGCGCAAUGGGCGAAAGCCUGACGCAGCGACGCCGCGUGAGGGAUGAAGGUCUUCGGAUCGUAAACCUCUGUCAGGAGGGAAGAAGUGGUUAUAUGCGAAUAGUGUAUGACUUUGACGGUACCUCCAAAGGAAGCACCGGCUAACUCCGUGCCAGCAGCCGCGGUAAUACGGAGGGUGCGAGCGUUAAUCGGAAUCACUGGGCGUAAAGCGCGCGUAGGCGGCUUUUCAAGUCAGGGGUGAAAUCCCACGGCCCAACCGUGGAACUGCCUUUGAAACUGUAGAGCUUGAGUGU